GAUGAACGCUGGCGGCGUGCCUAAUACAUGCAAGUCGAGCGAACGGACGAGAAGCUUGCUUCUCUGAUGUUAGCGGCGGACGGGUGAGUAACACGUGGAUAACCUACCUAUAAGACUGGGAUAACUUCGGGAAACCGUAGCUAAUACCGGAUAAUAUUUUGAACCGCAUGGUUCAAAAGUGAAAGACGGUCUUGCUGUCACUUAUAGAUGGAUCAGCGCUGCAUUAGCUAGUUGGUAAGGUAACGGCUUACCAAGGCAACGAUGCGUACCCGACCUGAGAGGGUGAUCGGCCACACUGGAACUGAGACACGGUCCAGACUCCUACGGGAGGCAGCAGUAGGGAAUCUUCCGCAAUGGGCGAAAGCCUGACGGAGCAACGCCGCGUGAGUGAUGAAGGUCUUCGGAUCGUAAAACUCUGUUAUUAGGGAAGAACAUAUGUGUAAGUAACUGUGCACAUCUUGACGGUACCUAAUCAGAAAGCCACGGCUAACUACGUG
This 497-nucleotide ribosomal RNA is filed under the name uncultured bacterium. Its description in RNAcentral is "partial 16S ribosomal RNA". It matches the Rfam family "Bacterial small subunit ribosomal RNA", at positions 28 to 507 of the family's 1533-position model. The record is from RNAcentral.